UGUGUGAUACAAAUGAUAUUGCCACCUCCUGUCAAGUGUAUUACCAUCGUGUUUUCAGUGCUGUCACUGCUGUACUCAGCUGCCGUACAUUUUCCAGCCCUCUGCCCUUGGCUGCGUCCUUGCGCCCGAAGAUGUUGCCCCAUGCAGUGCUGCUGUGCCUGGCUGUCCCUGCUACCAAAGAGGCAAAGACGUCUAUAAAGAGUCUGGCUCUGCCUUCUUUGUAACUUCUUCAUAUGGUGCUACUAGGUUUCCUGGGACCUUCUCUUCUCCUGGCUGUACAAGUCCAAUUCAUACAGCCGUUUCUUCCACACCAUUCGAAAUGCCUUGGGAGUUGGGAAGAAAAGGGAAGGGAAGAGAAAAGAAAGGAAGGGAAGAGGAAAAAAGAGAAGACACCCAUCACUGGAGCUGGCCUGUGAGAGCUUUGGAUGCAAACCACUUGGAAGCUCUAC
This is a long non-coding RNA of Cygnus olor (mute swan), 449 nucleotides long. RefSeq lists it as uncharacterized. Lineage: Eukaryota; Metazoa; Chordata; Aves; Anseriformes; Anatidae. The transcript is spliced from 3 exons. The record is from RefSeq and is a predicted model, not a curated record.